This 468-nucleotide ribosomal RNA is filed under the name uncultured bacterium. Its description in RNAcentral is "partial 16S ribosomal RNA". It matches the Rfam family "Bacterial small subunit ribosomal RNA", at positions 28 to 507 of the family's 1533-position model. The record is from RNAcentral.
GACGAACGCUGGCGGCGUGCUUAACACAUGCAAGUCGAACGGAAAGGCCCUGCUUUUGUGGGGUGCUCGAGUGGCGAACGGGUGAGUAACACGUGAGUAACCUGCCCUUGACUUUGGGAUAACUUCAGGAAACUGGGGCUAAUACCGGAUAGGAGCUCCUGCUGCAUGGUGGGGGUUGGAAAGUUUCGGCGGUUGGGGAUGGACUCGCGGCUUAUCAGCUUGUUGGUGGGGUAGUGGCUUACCAAGGCUUUGACGGGUAGCCGGCCUGAGAGGGUGACCGGCCACAUUGGGACUGAGAUACGGCCCAGACUCCUACGGGAGGCAGCAGUGGGGAAUAUUGCACAAUGGGCGGAAGCCUGAUGCAGCAACGCCGCGUGCGGGAUGACGGCCUUCGGGUUGUAAACCGCUUUCGCCUGUGACGAAGCGUGAGUGACGGCAAUGGGUAAAGAAGCACCGGCUAACUACGUG